CGCGGCGUAUUAGCUAGUUGGUGAGAUAAUAGCUCACCAAGGCGAUGAUACGUAGCAGACCUGAGAGGGUAAUCUGCCACAAUGGGACUGAGANACGGCCCAUACUCCUACGGGAGGCAGCAGUAGGGAAUCUUCCACAAUGGACGAAAGUCUGAUGGAGCAACGCCGCGUGAGUGAAGAAGGGUUUCGGCUCGUAAAACUCUGUUGUUAGAGAAGAACGACUGUGAGAGUAACUGCUCACGGCGUGACGGUAUCUAACCAGAAAGUCACGGCUAACUACGUGCCAGCAGCCGCGGUAAUACGUAGGUGGCAAACGUUGUCCGGAUUUAUUGGGCGUAAAGCGAGCGCAGGCGGUUUUUUAAGUCUGAUGUGAAAGCCUUCGGCUUAACCGAAAAAGUGCAUCGGAAACUGGGAAACUUGAGUGCAGAAAAGGACAGUGGAA
RNAcentral lists this ribosomal RNA (442 nucleotides) under uncultured Lactobacillus sp. RNAcentral's name for it is "bacterial SSU rRNA". It matches the Rfam family "Bacterial small subunit ribosomal RNA", at positions 232 to 666 of the family's 1533-position model. Lineage: Bacteria; Bacillati; Bacillota; Bacilli; Lactobacillales; Lactobacillaceae. The record is from RNAcentral.